Non-coding RNA from Sebastes umbrosus (honeycomb rockfish), 608 nucleotides. Lineage: Eukaryota; Metazoa; Chordata; Actinopteri; Perciformes; Sebastidae. The record is from the annotation of a RefSeq genome assembly.
GCCUCUCUGCUCCCAGCCGUUAAGAGGCCAGUGUUGAUCAGUGGCUGUCCAGGCCUUUCAGAGACACAAUGAUGAUGUCACUGAUUCUACUGCUGGCCACCCUGGGGCUCCUUGUUCAGGAUUCAUCAGGAGAAAUCAUCCUGACUCAGUCUCCUGGAUCUCAGUCUGCUGUUCCAGGACAGACUGUCUCCAUCAGAUGUAAAGCCAGUUCAAGUGUUAGCAAUGACUUGCAGUGGUACCUUCAGAAACCUGGAGAAGCUCCUAAACUCCUGAUUUAUAAUGCUCAAUCCCGUCAGUCUGGAGUUUCUGAUCGUUUCAGUGGGAGUCAGUCUGGGACUGACUUCACUCUGACCAUCAGUGGAGUUCAGACAGCAGAUGCAGGAGUUUAUUACUGUCAGCAGGAUAACAGCACACCGUCCACACUGAUACAACGUCGUACAAAAACCUCCCUCAGUUAAAGAGGAACUGAUCUGACUCAACAGCUGCACAGAAAUACAGACACUUAAGAAGUUUGACUGACAAUGAAGUCCACAUAACAGAAUAAUGUCAGGAAAUACUCUUUAUACUGUACAAAGUUAUAAUGGUAAUUUUGUUAAAAUAGGGCAUUA